Molecule: ribosomal RNA, 261 nt
Filed under: uncultured bacterium
Lineage: Bacteria
Description: partial 16S ribosomal RNA
Rfam family: Bacterial small subunit ribosomal RNA
Source: RNAcentral
UAGUGGCGGACGGGUGAGUAACGCGUGGGUAACCUGCCUCACACUGGGGAUAACAGUUAGAAAUAGCUGCUAAUACCGCAUAAGCGCACAGUUCCGCAUGGAACAGUGUGAAAAACUCCGGUGGUGUGAGAUGGACCCGCGUCUGAUUAGCCAGUUGGCGGGGUAACGGCCCACCAAAGCGACGAUCAGUAGCCGGCCUGAGAGGGUGAACGGCCACAUUGGGACUGAGACACGGCCCAAACUCCUACGGGAGGCAGCAUG